GACGAACGCUGGCGGCGUGCUUAACACAUGCAAGUCGAACGAGGUAGCAAUACCUAGUGGCGGACGGGUGAGUAACACGUAGGUAACCUGCCUUAUAGUGGGGGAUACCCAUCCGAAAGGAUGGCUAAUACCGCAUACCCUUUAUCGUUGUAAUACGGUUCAGGAAAGAUUUAUCGCUAUGAGAGGGGCCUGCGUAUGAUUAGCUAGUUGGUGAGGUAACGGCUCACCAAGGCGACGAUCAUUAGCUGGUCUGAGAGGACGAUCAGCCACACUGGAACUGAGACACGGUCCAGACUCCUACGGGAGGCAGCAGUGGGGAAUUUUCCGCAAUGGGCGAAAGCCUGACGGAGCAACGCCGCGUGGGUGAUGAAGUCUUUCGGGACGUAAA
This 388-nucleotide ribosomal RNA is filed under the name uncultured bacterium. Its description in RNAcentral is "bacterial SSU rRNA". It matches the Rfam family "Bacterial small subunit ribosomal RNA", at positions 28 to 429 of the family's 1533-position model. The record is from RNAcentral.